RNAcentral lists this ribosomal RNA (513 nucleotides) under uncultured bacterium. Its description in RNAcentral is "partial 16S ribosomal RNA". It matches the Rfam family "Bacterial small subunit ribosomal RNA", at positions 28 to 523 of the family's 1533-position model. The record is from RNAcentral.
GAUGAACGCUGGCGGCGUGCCUAAUACAUGCAAGUCGAGCGAACAGACGAGGAGCUUGCUCCUCUGACGUUAGCGGUGGACGGGUGAGUAACACGUGGAUAACCUACCUAUAAGACUGGCAUAACUUCGGGAAACCGGAGCUAAUACCGGAUAACAUGUUGAACCGCAUGGUUCAACAGUGAAAGACGGUCUUGCUGUCACUUAUAGAUGGAUCCGCGCCGCAUUAGCUAGUUGGUAAGGUAACGGCUUACCAAGGCAACGAUGCGUAGCCGACCUGAGAGGGUGAUCGGCCACACUGGAACUGAGACACGGUCCAGACUCCUACGGGAGGAAGCAGUAGGGAAUCUUCCGCAAUGGGCGAAAGCCUGACGGAGCAACGCCGCGUGAGUGAAGAAGGUCUUCGGAUCGUAAAACUCUGCUAUUAGGGAAGAACAAAUGUGUAAGUAACUAUGCACGUCUUGACGGUACCUAAUCAGAAAGCCACGGCUAACUACGUGCCAGCCGCCGCCGUAA